This 197-nucleotide unclassified non-coding RNA is filed under the name plant metagenome. RNAcentral describes it as "partial contains small subunit ribosomal RNA, internal transcribed spacer 1, and 5.8S ribosomal RNA". The record is from RNAcentral.
UCUCCGUUGGUGAACCAGCGGAGGGAUCAUUACCGAGUUUACAACUCCCAAACCCCUGUGAACAUACCUAUCGUUGCCUCGGCGGUGCCCGUUCCGGCGGCCCGCCAGAGGACCCCCAAACUCUUGUUUUAUACAGUAUCUUCUGAGUAACACGAUUAAAUAAAUCAAAACUUUCAACAACGGAUCUCUUGGUUCUG